RNAcentral lists this ribosomal RNA (460 nucleotides) under uncultured bacterium. RNAcentral describes it as "partial 16S ribosomal RNA". It matches the Rfam family "Bacterial small subunit ribosomal RNA", at positions 338 to 795 of the family's 1533-position model. The record is from RNAcentral.
CCUACGGGUGGCAGCAGUGAGGAAUAUUGGUCAAUGGGCGAGAGCCUGAACCAGCCAAGUCGCGUGAAGGAUGACGGCCCUACGGGUUGUAAACUUCUUUUGUCAGGGAGCAAUUGGGUCCACGCGUGGGCUUAGCGAGAGUACCUGAAGAAAAAGCAUCGGCUAACUCCGUGCCAGCAGCCGCGGUAAUACGGAAGGCCCGAGCGUUAUCCGGAUUCAUUGGGCUUAAAGGGAGCGUAGGCGGGCGUUCAAGUCAGCUGUAAAAUCGCGCGGCUCAACCGCGCCCCGCAGUUGAAACUGGACGCCUUGAGUUCACAACAGGCAGGCGGAAUUCGUGGUGUAGCGGUGAAAUGCAUAGAUAUCACGAGGAACCCCGAUUGCGAAGGCAGCCUGCCGGGGUGCGACUGACGCUGAGGCUCGAAGGUGCGGGUAUCAAACAGGAUUAGAUACCCCUGUAGUC